AGCGUACUCCUUUCCGCAUUCUUCCUCAUGGCCAAAAGCAAAUAUUUAUUCCCCGCAUAUUUUUCCCUUUCUUCCAGGCUCCAGUUCUGAAACCUGUGGAUUCCCCCGGCCAAACGUUGCUUGACUGGCACGAAUCGGGCCGGUUUGUUUUCCCCUGCUUUCUCGAGCUGCUUCUCAAAAUCGCCCUGCAGCGGGGCGGGGGGGAGAAGGGGGAAGGGGAGGCUGCUCUAUGGGGCAGCGCUGUUUUACAUACGGGUUAGACACGGCUAGAGGCCAAGGUCAAGUUGAAAGUUGCAGUCUAGCCAAUGUGAGAACUGUCAUUCACAGCCCGGAGAUCUGUCUGAUUUGUUAAAUCGGGUGGCCGUGAGAGCUGCA
Molecule: long non-coding RNA, 375 nt
Filed under: Anser brachyrhynchus (Pink-footed goose)
Lineage: Eukaryota; Metazoa; Chordata; Aves; Anseriformes; Anatidae
Description: HOXA transcript at the distal tip, conserved region 2 (ENSABRG00000010194.1)
Rfam family: HOXA transcript at the distal tip, conserved region 2
Source: RNAcentral